RNAcentral lists this long non-coding RNA (880 nucleotides) under Hordeum vulgare. RNAcentral's name for it is "long non-coding RNA (HVUL_LNC010863)". The record is from RNAcentral. Lineage: Eukaryota; Viridiplantae; Streptophyta; Magnoliopsida; Poales; Poaceae.
UCACCGUCACUCUUCAAUGGUAAAUCUCGUGCAUAUGACAUCUGAGACAUAUAUGUAAUAUUCGUUGAACUAAAAUUGUAACCCAUAUAUUGUGAACUUGUUCAGGUUUCCUUCAUACUAAUGAGCAUCGAUGAUGCAUCCAUGUUUUCCUUCAAGAAAAAAGGGCUCAUGUAAGAAUGCAUAUCUGUAUUAGUAGCUUCUUAUUUGUCGUCGAAAUCAACACAUCUAAAAAUGGUAAAUUAAUAAUGACGGAUGGUUAUAGGAAAAAAGGAAUUCUUGUGUUGAUUGACUCCACAUAUAUGUUGAAUCUUAUGUUUCCACAUCCAAACACAUAAUUAAUCGGAAGAUUUAUUGUACAUUGAUGUAUGGAAUUGCUAGUAUAUAUUUUGGUGGAAAUUUUAUCAGAUAGAAUACCUUUGUUUACCUCAUGGGUAUCGUGAGAAAGUCGAUGUACCAUGCCUUGAUGGACAAAAAUUAUGGUGCAUAACACAAAAAUUUGCGGUACUAGAUGAACAUUAGACAUCUUGAGAUGGGGGAGAACACAUAUAGAUCAAUAUUCCCAUGGGAGUUCUAUUAUAUAGAGGUUCUACGCUUAAUUUUCACAUAGAUAAAACCCGUAAUAGAGCAAUAAAUGAUACACACACCCCAUAAUCAAGAAAUAAAUGACCAAAUUUCCGCUCAUUGAAUAUGAUACGAUAGUGCUACUUGCAACUUGACUUUGUUUACUCAUUUAAGUAUAUUUGUUUCCAUUGUCAAAAUUAUGCAACUAGGUAAUGAGCCAAAGGACGUCUGAUACAUCACAAACAACUCAAUAUGUAUGAGUCGUGUCAUAUUGCUAUUAAUUACAAACAUUUUGUGCAAAAAAAUUAUUAAUUUUUCU